Molecule: long non-coding RNA, 2157 nt
Organism: Gopherus flavomarginatus (Mexican gopher tortoise)
Lineage: Eukaryota; Metazoa; Chordata; Testudines; Testudinidae
Exons: 3
Source: RefSeq, a predicted model, not a curated record
GCAGGAGCAGCUGGGCAGCUGAAUGCAACAGGAGAGCUGUGUGCAGAGCAGGCUGCAGCAGGAGCCAGGGAAUUGCAUGUUCCAGCGGUAAAGUGAGACAUUUCAAUGGAAACAAGUGAUUCUACUGGAGGGUAAAAUCUUUCUUCCCAACUGCAGAAAUAUGGAGACCUUUUUCAAAACAGCCCUAACAGGUGAGACAUGGACACCAUUCACCUCUUCAGGAACCACUGUUGCUGCUUAUAACGUAAAAGACUUGGAGAGACAAAUAGACUGCUUGGGUGAGCUCCACCAUUGUGGCACUCCACCAUCUCCCAGACUUCUUCAUGCUAAUCCUGAAAGAUGUACUGACCAGAUGGGGACCGAUGGGGGUACCAGAUGAUGUUGCCAUGUCCACUGGCUUUGGAUAAAUCCUGAACACCACCUGCCAUGUGAGACUUUUGUCUCUUUCGGUCCCCAGUGUGUCCUUUUCCUUCCCCACCUUAUUCUCUUUCUUCUCUUUCCCCUGUUUGUUGUCUAAUAAGAGCUUGCCAAGACUGCAUAUUUUAGAACUUUGCAGUAAGCCUGUGACCACAGAGACAAAUAAAAUAAUGCCCUCAACAGCUUGAUGCUGUUAAAAGCAUAGGUGGGAAGUGACUUUUUCAUCUUGGGAGGCUUACGUGAGCACCGGAAAUUCCCUAAUGUGGGGGAGGCCACCAGUGCCUAGACUGUAGUUCCACACCCCUGCUCCACCCCACCCUUGCUCUGCCUCUUCCCAUUCCUGCUCUUCCUCUUCCCCCAUGGCCCUGCCUCUUCCCACCCCUGCUCCAUCUCUUGCCCAGAGGCCCCUCCACCCACCGCUUGCUCCUUUCUGCCUCUUAUAUGCGCCGCCCAUAGGUAAGAGUUUGCCAGAGUGGCUGAUAAGACCAUGUGCCAUGAUUCUGUUUUUCCUGCAGUGAGGUUGCACGUGUGAGUCAACCUCAGAGACAGAAGGCUCAUUUUCUACCUCUGCUGUUCUUCUCUUCCCUUUUAUGCGUGUUUGUCUUGCUUUGUCAUCUUAGGAAAUGAAAUCAGACUUUAAUAACAACAGCUCCAGCCCAUUUCAACUCACCUCUUCUCUCCCCCACACCCCGAAAGGAAAGUUAUUACCAUCUUUGAUACCAUCGUAAAGACUGUAAGAGCAGCAAAGAGUCCUGUGGCACCUUGCAGACUAACAGACUUAUUGGAGCUUGAGCUUUCGUGGGUGAAUACCCACUUCGCCGGAUGCAAAGGCUGUUUCAAACUAGAGAAUUUUUUUCUAAUAACUGUCUCCAGCUAAAGAGAAAGGGAACAAGGGGUGGUAUGAAAACCUUACUUAAUGCUUUACAUUUCAAAUGCUUUAACUGUUGUUUCCCUUCUUUUCUGUUUUUUUAAUAAAAGGUUUAAAGGUUUUUUAAUGAUGUGUUAACCAUGAUACUAACAGCCUCUGUAUAUCAAACCUUGUUUAACACUGUUUAAUGUUGGACAAUGCCAGGGUCUUAACAUUUUUCGUCCAUGUAUUCCAUCUAAAUUAACAACAGACCCUGGAAUAAGUUUGAGAGAGAGUUUUCAGGUCUGGUGUUGGCUAAAGAGGCAUGUGGGCUGUAAGCUAAGAAACUGCUCCUUUUGUUCUUGGCUCCUUCUGCAUCCGGAGACACAGGACUUCUUACAUUCCUUGCAAAUAAACAAGAUUGCAUCAAAGAAAAUACUAGACUCCAUCAUCAAUUCCAACUUCCAGCUGAAACAUCUUCAGGGCCCUGAACUUUGAAUAGCUGGUUAGGUCGAAAUGGGGGCAAUGGAGGUCAACAGAAGAGUUGGAAAAGUGCUAUGAGUCACAGCCAUGCUUGAUUAGUGGUUGUAAAAGUGACACCUGCUCUGUGCUUUCCUCUUCAGAACACCACAGAGAAUACAACUGAUAUUAACAAGUGUGUCAAGCAAAAAUGUUUAACCCAGUUUCUCUGCCUUGCUCAAGAGAAUAGGUCUGUCUGUUUAUCAAGAACCUACAGAGAACUCAAAGUGACAAAUGAAGGAAUAUUUUGUGGCAGCAGGUUUUUCAGUUGUUCCUGAGAAAAUUGCUGUGUUUCAAACGGUGAGCAGUCAGUAGUUUUCCAGAUGAGGCCACUCUUGACAAAUGUGUUGGGCACUGCGUGAAAUAUUACAAAU